RNAcentral lists this ribosomal RNA (921 nucleotides) under Streptosporangium amethystogenes. RNAcentral's name for it is "bacterial SSU rRNA". It matches the Rfam family "Bacterial small subunit ribosomal RNA", at positions 588 to 1496 of the family's 1533-position model. The record is from RNAcentral. Lineage: Bacteria; Bacillati; Actinomycetota; Actinomycetes; Streptosporangiales; Streptosporangiaceae.
UCGGGUGUGAAAGCUUGGGGCUUAACUCCAGGUCUGCAUUCGAUACGGGCUGGCUAGAGGUAGGUAGGGGAGAACGGAAUUCCUGGUGUAGCGGUGAAAUGCGCAGAUAUCAGGAGGAACACCGGUGGCGAAGGCGGUUCUCUGGGCCUUACCUGACGCUGAGGAGCGAAAGCGUGGGGAGCGAACAGGAUUAGAUACCCUGGUAGUCCACGCUGUAAACGUUGGGCGCUAGGUGUGGGGACCUUCCACGGUUUCCGCGCCGUAGCUAACGCAUUAAGCGCCCCGCCUGGGGAGUACGGCCGCAAGGCUAAAACUCAAAGGAAUUGACGGGGGCCCGCACAAGCGGCGGAGCAUGUUGCUUAAUUCGACGCAACGCGAAGAACCUUACCAAGGCUUGACAUCGCCCGGAAAGCUUCAGAGAUGGAGCCCUCUUCGGACUGGGUGACAGGUGGUGCAUGGCUGUCGUCAGCUCGUGUCGUGAGAUGUUGGGUUAAGUCCCGCAACGAGCGCAACCCUUGUUCAAUGUUGCCAGCACGCUCCCUUGUGGGGUGGUGGGGACUCAUUGGAGACUGCCGGGGUCAACUCGGAGGAAGGUGGGGAUGACGUCAAGUCAUCAUGCCCCUUAUGUCUUGGGCUGCAAACAUGCUACAAUGGCCGGUACAGAGGGUUGCGAUACCGUAAGGUGGAGCGAAUCCCUAAAAGCCGGUCUCAGUUCGGAUUGGGGUCUGCAACUCGACCCCAUGAAGUCGGAGUCGGUAGUAAUCGCAGAUCAGCAACGCUGCGGUGAAUACGUUCCCGGGCCUUGUACACACCGCCCGUCACGUCACGAAAGUCGGCAACACCCGAAGCCCGUGGCCCAACCAGCUUGUCUGGGGGGAGCGGUCGAAGGUGGGGCUGGCGAUUGGACGAAGUCGAACAAGA